Molecule: ribosomal RNA, 461 nt
Filed under: uncultured bacterium
Lineage: Bacteria
Description: partial 16S ribosomal RNA
Rfam family: Bacterial small subunit ribosomal RNA
Source: RNAcentral
CCUACGGGAGGCAGCAGUGAGGAAUAUUGGUCAAUGGGCGAGAGCCUGAACCAGCCAAGUCGCGUGAGGGAAGACGGUCCUAUGGAUUGUAAACCUCUUUUGCCGGGGAGCAAAAAGCGGUACGUGUACCGCAUCGAGAGUACCCGGAGAAAAAGCAUCGGCUAACUCCGUGCCAGCAGCCGCGGUAAUACGGAGGAUGCGAGCGUUAUCCGGAUUUAUUGGGUUUAAAGGGUGCGUAGGCUGUGAGGUAAGUCAGCGGUGAAAUGCCCCCGCUCAACGGGGUGAAGUGCCAUUGAUACUGCCUUGCUGGAAUGCGGAUGCCGUGGGAGGAAUGUGUGGUGUAGCGGUGAAAUGCAUAGAUAUCACACAGAACACCGAUUGCGAAGGCAUCUCACGAAUCCGCGAUUGACGCUGAUGCACGAAAGCGUGGGUAUCAAACAGGAUUAGAUACCCUUGUAGUC